UUGUCUCACAGCUCAGUUGAUGGAGCAUGAGACUCCGAAUCUCAAGGUUGUGGGUUUAAGCCCCACGUUGGGCAAA
Non-coding RNA from Podarcis lilfordi (Lilford's wall lizard), 76 nucleotides. The record is from the annotation of a GenBank genome assembly. NCBI's taxonomy places the organism in Eukaryota, Metazoa, Chordata, Lepidosauria, Squamata, Lacertidae.